AUGGAUUUUGUAGUGAUAAUAAGAGGUUUCUGAUCUCUGAUGAGGGAAGUCUGGGAUUUUGGUUAAUUUCAUUGCCAUUUGCUUUUCAGACGAGAGAUUAAACAGUUAUUGUCUGAGUUGGAUGAAGAGAAGAAAAUCCGGCUUCGGUUGCAGAUGGAAGUGAAUGACAUAAAGAAAGCUCUACAAUCAAAAUGAAUACUUGAUCAAUGAAAUGUCACAUUAUUCAUCCUGAGUCCGAGACUCAAAUUUUCUGCCCCAGCCAAAAUAAUCUUGUGCCAAAAGAUUAAAGGUUUGCCUCAAAAUGUCCCUGUUUGAAAGAUUAGCACAAAAGUCUUGAUAGCACAACACAAAUUCCAUCCAAGAGGAGAAUCUUCCCCAGGGUUUAGUCCUGGGGCUGGCACUCGUUGUGACUUACACAGAGCAAAAUUGUGCUAAAGGCUUUUCUACUCUGAGAUCUCCAUGCGAAAUGAAAACUCAGGCAGUUUAGUCCAUAGUGGUACUAUUUUGAUGAUAUUUUCCAUUAAUAAAAUGUAAUUUCAGAUUAUUCGUUUACAAGCUUUAUAAUUUUAUGAUUUUUUAAUCGUGUUUUGUCACAGACUUCCCUAGUGUUUGUACUACACGUAGUCAGAAGCGAGUGUCCUUUUCUUUUGCUUCAGGCUGAGAGCUGCCUCGCUCUUUGUCCCCCCAUUAGGAUUCUAUUACAUAUGCAAUUGUAGGUUCAACCUGUCCCUUCCCCUGCCAGCAAACCCCACCACCCUAAGAGAAAUUUUAGCUUAUAUAUGAUGGUAUAUUUACAAAAAGAGAAAGAGAAAAUCUGGUAUUUGCAAUGAUCUGUGCCUUCUUUUUACCACCCUCUUGAUUGGAGCUUUUGUGAUGCAGCUACCAUGAUUCAAAAAAAUUAAAAAAUGAAAAUUAAAAAACAAAGUCUGCCACUUAUCCAAGUCCACUAGAGGCCACUGUCUUCAAAGCUUCUCUCACCCUAGCCAAAGGUCCUAAGAGGAGACAGCUGUGAAGUUGGGCGUGCUCUGUGGUACCAGCUGUGACUUUUAUAUUUCUCCUAGUUUUAGGUUGUUCAUGAAACUAGAAAUGUCACCCCUGCUUGAUUUUUCAUCCGCCAAGUUAAACCCCUGCUUUCUGUCCUUUGCACCUUUUGCGUGAACAGAAUAUGCAUUAUUAAAGCAAAAAUAAAUAAAAGUAAAAUGCAAAUGAAAACAAGGGGGGGAAAGUUGUAUUAUUUCCUGCACUGGGUUACCCGUGUGUGUUAUCGUUUAAACUGUAUUCACAUAAUGUCAUUUGCCUUGCUCACUUGUAACCCCUUCCUCAGGUCCAAGAGAAUGGGAGGAGGGUCAUGUUGAAGUGUAGCCAUUGGAACUUUCUUGCGUUUAUGGAGUUGCUUUUUCUUUCCCAAGGAAACUGAUGUUUGCCUGUCCGCUUUAUCUUUGUAGUACAUGAACAGUUCAGCCUUAGACUAUGUAACUGUUUUCUCAUCCUUAGCUGAAAAUGAGGAGCCUACUGUACUGUGAGACUGUUCAGGGGUAGGGGUGGAGGGGGUGGUCCCUUAAUGGCCCCUGAAGAUGUUGGAUGUGUUUCUCGAAAGCUGCUUUGUCUAUUUCCUGAGUUUAAUAGUGAAACUACUAAACAUUAAUAGAUUUGCACAGCCACAAAGAAUGAGAGUUAAUGAUACUGAAGAAGUGAUGCAAAAAAAAUCACAUUAUUGGUCAUUGAUAGUAUUACAAAUAAAUGUCUCUUCCUUUCUCUUCUUCCCUCCCUCCCCCUGCCUUCCUCUUGCCUAUGUGCUCAUCCUUGCUACCUGAGGCUGUUAUUUCCCUCCAGGUAUUUACUUGAGCCCGAACACCUCGGUCUUCCUGGGUGGGGGCACAGUUAAGGGAAGGGAGUGUAUAAGGAAGGAAACCUCACACCCUCCAUUCCCAUCCCUGGAUAUAUUGCCUUUCCAGCAGCCUUGGGUUCAGUGUGCUUUGGAGUCAGGAGUGCCAAGUUCCCAAGAGCAGCGUAAAAUAUCCCUGUACCUCUUGACAGUUUUAAGCAUUUCUGCAUUAAACUUGAAGAUUCCAGAGAUUCCCCACCACCUAAUGAUCUAAGAAUGCAGAUUGGAUUCUUUGAUGUUCAGAUUUCUCAUCUACUUAUGAAAAUCCCUAAUUAUAUAGUUUUAUAUAACGUGUAUACAGAGUAGGAUUGUUGAUUUAAUUGAGCAGUUGGAACACCCUCAUGGGGCACUGGCAACGUGGAAUGUAGAGAGCUGAUGUCUUCCCCUCAUAGAGGCCAUUGGCUUCCUUUGCAUAAGGAGAGGGAGAAGUGAUUCUGGAAGGAGAGGUUGGUAUGUACAGCUUCUUUCAUUGCUGCCCCUCGGGCUACCCAGCAAGAGGAUUCUGCGUCAAGGAACUGGAUGAGCCGCUACCCAAACAGCCACCAUCUUUACUCUUUACAAAAUGGACCCAUCGAGAAUGUUGAAAAGCUUGGAAGUAUCACUUUUGAAAAAAAAAAAAAUUUAUUUUGCAUUCAGCAUGGACUCGACCAGGCAUCUAUGGAGAUUAUUUUUUUGCUUCAUUUUAUAAAGUUGUAUUUAGAAAAGUCUUAAGUAUUGUGCUUUGUAAAGAAGAUGAUUAAAAUGAAAUUUUGUGAGAA
Piliocolobus tephrosceles (Ugandan red Colobus) is the source of this 2643-nucleotide long non-coding RNA. RefSeq lists it as uncharacterized. NCBI's taxonomy places the organism in Eukaryota, Metazoa, Chordata, Mammalia, Primates, Cercopithecidae. The record is from RefSeq and is a predicted model, not a curated record. The transcript is spliced from 2 exons.